Salmo salar (Atlantic salmon) is the source of this 1236-nucleotide non-coding RNA. The record is from RefSeq and is a predicted model, not a curated record. NCBI's taxonomy places the organism in Eukaryota, Metazoa, Chordata, Actinopteri, Salmoniformes, Salmonidae.
AGGCUGGCUCCCUCCUCCAGUCUCCUGCAGAAGAGGCGGGAGGACAUGGAGGUCCACAAAGCUAUGAAACGGCAAAGAGAGGAUUUUGAGUCAACUCUCAGGGCCCUGAGAAUCCGCAAGAAUGAGCUCAUAGAGAAAUUUGCUGAAAUUUGACAACUUUCUUAGGGACAACGAGGUGAAACGAUGUUGAGCUGUUAGGAAAGCCGGCCGAGAGAGGGAAAUGACUAAUCAGAAGCAGGUGGACAUGGUCACUCUACAGGAGGAUACAAAAGCUAUCAUCAAAGAGAGGGACUGUCUAGGGAAACGAGUGCAAAAGAAUGCCAUCUACCCCCAUUACCUGAAUAAAGUGGUACAGGAUCUUAGGUCUAUACAAGUGCUUAGGCCGUAUGGGCUAGGGGUUGAUUUUUUCUCUCUAAGUUUCAGGAGGCCCGACAGGUGAUGUCUCGCUACGACACGUUGAUGCUGACCCAGGAAGACCUGGUGCCCACUACCCAGCAGAACCAGGACAGCACAGAGAAGGCCCGAGCCCAGCUGACCCCCUGCUGCACUACAACACUCUGGCCCAGCUACAGAGCCAGCUGGACAAGGCCCACGCUGAGGGCAUCAUCUGGGAAUCAAGAUGGGCCCACAUUAAGAACACAGCUGCCAAGAAGACACUUCUGUUGUGCACAAUCAAGAUUGCCACUAUCAAUCUUUACCAGAGUGUGUGCAAGAGGGCCAAAGACACUGGGGAUUUACCUGUUGCUCCAGAGGACCCUCCUAAGCAGCUGGAGAAGAUGCCAUAGGCUACUGUGCUGCUGUAAACGCAUGACUCAGCAUUACUCUGUUUGUGCAAAGUUGAGGGGCUCUAGACUCGAAUGCUCAUAAUAUUUACGUAAGAGGAAAGGACCGAGGACACAGAUGGUUAUUGUAUCGUGUGAAACACUUUGACUUCCUGAUGUUGCCGGAUUCUCUCGGGUGUUUACAGAACAUUGGUGCUGUGACAUUAGGAUUUCAGAGCCUGUUUAAAGAAAGCAAUUGUAGCAAUAGAGCAAAGGAUUACAAAGUAUGAAAAGAAACUAGUGGCUGCAGUAUUGCCGGCAACAUUGAUGAUGAUUAGGAGUAUAUGCUGCAUGGGCUGUUAAGGCAUAAGUGUAUGAAGUGUGUAUUCUUAUUUUAUAUUUAUGUAAUUAAUUAAUUGAGCUGUUCUUGUCUAUUAAUGUUCUGUAUUAUGUCAUGUUUUAUGUUUUGUGUGGA